UGUGUGUGUUAAUAUAUUCAGCUAGUUUCUAUUUUCUUUGUUUAAAUAAAUAAUAAUAACGUGUGAGUGGAUAAAAAAACAAUGGCUGCUGGAGCAGAUGAUUUUCCAGAAAAGCAAUUUGGCAACUUCAUCAUGGCCGAAAAUCUCUUAAUUGAAAGUGUAGAAAUCUGACACAUGAUAUGUUAUUUGGGCGCCUAUUUUUAUAAUCGCUUCUCUCCUCGUGCGCUGGAAUCAAGAAAAACAACUUGAAAUAUGCCCUGAAACCCUUUUUUUUUCUUUCUUCCCUUUUAUAAUACUUGAUGAUGAUGUAAAACUUAUUGCGAGCAACCGCGUGGUCUCUGGUCUAUAAUUUAUCUCGUUUUCGAUCACGUGAGAAUCUCAUCAUCAUCAUCAUCGAGAGCUGCAAGCAUCACAGAUCACAGCAGCAUCAGCUUCACGAAUUCGAGAGAGGGUUGGGCCCACGUCUGCCCAUUCAUCAUGCCAUGCCACGAAGGAAAGCAUCACUGAGCUGCAGAGUCUCCACACAGCAGGGGGAAAAGACAAAAGCGUUGAGCCUGAUUUAUCCCUGUGGAUACACUUGCACCGUGUAAUUACUGCACAGUCAGUGCUGCUGCUGCUGCUGAAGCGAGCCAACCCCCCCAUACCUCAAGGCUCUGCGAUGGCAUGGGAGGUGGCUGAAUUGUCUCCACACACACUCCGUUAUGAAGAGACACCCCCCUAGCUGUCAAAAGAAACACUCCCUCUUGGCAUUCAGCUCGCAACAACAACAACAACAACAAUUGACCUUCCUUCCUUGUACUCUUUUUUGUACAGUCCAUCCUCCCUUUCAGAAAAAAAGUAGCAGCUCAGCAGCAGCAGCCAGUCAUGUGUGUGUGUGUUUUAUCGUGUGUAGGUUUUCCACACACACAAUGAUUUAACACUUGGCGAAAAACAAAGAAAUAAAGGAAUGAACAUUUUCUCUCACCUGAUCGAUCCCUAACCUCCAGGUAGCCGUGCUUGGGUCCGUCGACGAUGACGACGACCAGGUUGUCGGGUUUUGUAUCGCUGUCGUUGACGCUCAGGAUGUCCGGCGACAGGAUUUCGGUGGCCCCUUCUUCGACCGUCACUUCUCCGUGGACGACGACCUCCGGCAGCUGAUUGUCGCGGGGCUCGAUGGCGAUCAUGAGGGCCUCGGGUCGAAGUGGAACCCUGGGCAGCGGAGCCAGUCCGUUGGCUCCGUUUUCGUCUCUGGCCCGUUUGAUGGUGUCCUCGGUCCGUCUGAGAACUUUGCCGCUGGAAUCCAACACCCGGCCGUUCAACAGGACGUUGCGACCUCUGCCAUUUUUCUCUUCGCUGUCGUCGCUCUUGGCUGCCGAAACGUUCCAGUAUAAUCGAUCCUCGGCCGGCAACCAGCCCACUUCCUUAUCUGCUCUGAAGCUCGAGUGAUGACGUCGCCGAUCUGCAGGACUUUGCCGGAUAACAGGACGGACCCCAUGGUAGUUGGACGGGCUAGAAUGUACUCGACUGUUUCCUUGUCGACGGCCGUAUCGAGGACGACAAAAAAAAUCUAAUCAAAAAUAAACCUUCGACGACCGAUGGUAUCGACAUGAGUGGACCGUCUUGCUGGACCUCCUGCUGACUACACUUUGGCCGGCCUUUAACUACACACACACACAACAACAAAAAAGGUUUUUUGUUCCAGGAGCGAGUUGGCUUUUGGAACGACGUUGGCUUCCGUGAUUUUGUUCUACUGCCCGGCUAUUAAGUCUGGCGGUGACGUCACAGCCGGAAGUCGGGAGGAAUGAAAGAUAAAAAGAAAAAGGUGCUGAGAGACCAGGAAGUUGGACGGAAGGAAAAUGUGGGCACGAAAUGAAAUCAACAAGUUAACGAGCCGACAAAGCGACGUGACGCAUCCUUGUCCUUGUGCCGAGUUGAAUAUUAAACCAGAAAAAACCCUUUUGAUGGUGGUGCUGGGGCCCCUUAAUGGCACACACUACUAGUCUAGUAGUCAUCUGGUGUAGUUGUGUAGUAAGUAGUAGUAGUAUAUUUCCAGCAUCCUUAAUUUUUUAAUGACCAACAGUUUCAACUGUAGCCGGCCCAGCCUAUAUACGACGUGUUACACAGUUCCACUGCUUCUGCUGGCCUGGCCUGGCCCGAAUGAAAACGGUUUUUUUUUUUUUUUUUGGCUCUGGACGUCGUGACCUUCUUGGCAAAUCCCGCCGGUUGUUGUUGUUGUUGGGCCUUAUAGCACACACACACAGAAAAAAAAGAGGCGAAACUUUUCAUUGACCCAUUCAUCACCACGACCGAAAAGGGGCUGGGCGAAUAUAUAUUAAGAGAGAAACACUAGAUGUGUGCGCUGUUGUUCUUUUUUUCCUUCUUCUUCUUCUUUCACUCGCCGGGAAAAAAAAGUUACACAACAUUUCACGGGAAAUUGGUUUUUCGUGUUUUUCGGUUUUUUCUGGGGGGAAGUGUCGGUUCGGUGGAAGGGUUGGUGGUGGUGGUGUUAAUGUCGGGAGUCUUACUCUUUCUUUCUCUUGGUUCUUCCAUUAGCGGUCAAAUGUCUCUAGUCAGAAAAAUAUUCAAAUGUACAUAAUCCCCGGGCUGUUAUUUUUCCAAGAGGAGGAGGAGGAUCUAACAGCUUCAUCUGUCGCCGCCUGUUAUUCUCUUUCGGGAAUCUUGUCGCCUCGUCUCUCUCUCUCUCUCUUUCCUUACUGGCUAAAAUUAGACAUUUUUUAGGUGGGGAGGAGGGGGGGGGAAAUCAAAUGAGCAACUCACGAGACACACCGCUGCUUAUAUAGUUUAGCUAGAGCGGGAAUUUCAAAAAGAAAGAAAAAAACCUUUUUGUUUUAUUUUUUACUUUCGGGAUUCCAAUUCCGCAGCCGCACGUCCGUUUCGAUACAUCAAAUUGGUGAAUGGGGAGGUGAGGGGGGAGAUGUUGUAUAGCUAAAGAAAGCUCUCUAUCUCUAUUUCUCUCCUUUUUGGCCAACCUCCCACCUCCCCCUAAAAAUAAGUGGAGGUGCGGCCGAACCCGCCGCUUAUUUUUUUCUUUCUUUCUACCAACCGAAAAGGAAAAUACUUACACGACGUUCACGGCCUCCUCACUUUCUUAUAUGUCUGCCCGUUGUGCAUUACGUGACUGAUUUUUUUUAAAAUUUUUUAAAAUUUUCAAAUAACCCCUACGAUUUUGAUUUGAACAAUUAGCGAUUGAGAUAAAUGGUGAUUGAUUUUUACCUGCUGUGCAAUGUGCGACGAUAAUCAACAGGAAGGAGAAGACGACAACGAAACGAGACACGACCACUGUACAACGCAUUUUGCGCUAAUUAUUUCGUUUGUCUUUUUGUGAUGAAUUUGAUUCAAUUGUUUUUUUGCGGGAAAUUUGAAAUGGGCGAAAAAUGAGACACUGGUCACACUCAUCCGCCACUUUUCUUUCUUUCUUUUUUGGGUUUUACAGAAUCACCUCUGCUGUAGUAGUAGUAGUAGUAGUAGCGGCAGAAGAAGACGAAUUGGAUGUUGAUGAUGAUGAAGGAGAAGUCGUGGAGUCAAGGUAACGAGCGGCCAUUCUGACCGACAACAAACAACAGACUGACUGGGCCCCAAAAGAAGAAGAAGAAGAAGAACCCGCGCGGUGUAUAGUUUAGCAGCAGCGACGCUCUGGUGCGCCGUCGUGAAGGAACUUUGGCCGAUUUAAAACUGCCGCUGUGGGCCGGGCCCCCACCACCACCACGGCCGCCGUCAGCAAUCAAAUUUUGUCUUAACGCUCAGCGCACGAUCGUCGGCUUGUACAACAAGGAAAAGAAAUGAAGCCAACACGGAUGAAGAAGGAAAGAAGAAAACGAGAUGACAAACGGUUAAAACACUCGAAUCGUACCGGGGUCGUGGGAAUAGAACAAAAGAAAAGACGGCCGGCCGUGCUGGGUGGGCAAGACCAUCCCUAGUUUUUCGUCUUUCUUCAAUGGAGAGAGAGAGAGGCUCAAACGGCCUCUAAAAAUACGACGGUAGCUUCUCCCUUUCUUUUGGCCAUCCAGGUGGAUAUUUUUUUCAAUGCCGAUUUUUAAAUUUUUACUUUUUUUUUUUUUUUUUACUUUUGCAAAGUUGGAUGACAUCUCCGAGUGUUUGGACAAUGGAUCGACCAGUUGGGGGUGUCGAAUAAUAAACCGGUCCAUCCCCACCUGGAAAAAAAGAACCUGGGCCUGGGAUGGAUGGAUGGAGACCUUGUCCCAAGUUGAAAUGGUCCACGGCUCAUUUUUUGACGUUGAUGAUCAAUUCCCAAAACGUGAUGAUGGGCUCCCGCGGGAGAGGUGCGGCCGUGACCCGGGCGUUCCAAGGCGAUGCGGCGGAAACCUGUCGGACAGUAGGAGCGGGAUAGGCCACCACUUCACCACCGGGUCCAUCUUCCCCAAAGGAGAAGGAAGGAUCGGAUAUCCAUCAAAUGUCCACGGCUGUGGCCCAUCUCCAUUCUUGACCCGUUUUUCUGGUAGCGCGCCAAUCGGUGCGCACACACACAGACAUUUUCGCGUGAAUAAUUGGUCUCUGGUAUGUAUCCUUAACUGCGCAGCCUGACGGGGGCUGUAUACGGGAUACCUGCCGUGUGCCAGCCAGUCAGAGCCACAGCCAGGGCCAUAUGGUAGCGGAAUUCAAAGUUCGCGGGCGUUGUCUGCAUUUGAUGAUGAUGACGUGAUUUUUUGGUUUUUAUUUUACUUUUAACUUUUUCAGGGUUCCAGUCGAAUUCCAGCCGCUUCUUUUUCUUUUCGUUUUGGGAAUCGUCGACACGCUCCGACACGUGGACAAAUUGACGACCGAGACUCGUCGCAUUUGGCAUUUUGUUUAGGAAAAUUCGCCCCCCGUGAUUGACUCUAAUCCGCCGAGACCGGAACCAAAAACCAAAGAGAAUGUCUCCUUUGUAAAUGUUGAUGACGCGAGCGAUGAUUAGUGACGUCAGCGUCGGUGUGUUAGGUGCCGUUUCCCCCCACCAAAAGAUGAAAGGUUCUCCGUGAGAGCUCUCGCCCUUGGAUGAUUCAUUUCCGACGAUAAAACAAGCCCUAAUCCAAAUUUAUCGACACUGUGCUGUGCGCACACACGUGGCUGUUUUUUUUUUAUUUUGGCCAGUUCAUGGGAAAGGACCGGGUCGUAAAAAAUGAUCGUCGCCCCGAAUAAGGCCAUCGAAAUACGACGU
RNAcentral lists this long non-coding RNA (5155 nucleotides) under Daphnia pulex (common water flea). RNAcentral's name for it is "uncharacterized LOC124202561, transcript variant X2". Lineage: Eukaryota; Metazoa; Arthropoda; Branchiopoda; Diplostraca; Daphniidae. The record is from RNAcentral.